UACGGAGGAUCCAAGCGUUAUCCGGAAUCAUUGGGUUUAAAGGGUCCGUAGGCGGUUUGGUAAGUCAGUGGUGAAAGCCCAUCGCUCAACGGUGGAACGGCCAUUGAUACUGCCAGACUUGAAUUAUUAGGAAGUAACUAGAAUAUGUAAUGUAGCGGUGAAAUGCUUAGAGAUUACAUGGAAUACCAAUUGCGAAGGCAGGUUACUACUAAUGGAUUGACGCUGAUGGACGAAAGCGUGGGUAGCGAACAGG
RNAcentral lists this ribosomal RNA (253 nucleotides) under uncultured bacterium. RNAcentral's name for it is "partial 16S ribosomal RNA". It matches the Rfam family "Bacterial small subunit ribosomal RNA", at positions 524 to 776 of the family's 1533-position model. The record is from RNAcentral.